UGCGUAGGGUGCGAGCGUUGUCCGGAAUUAUUGGGCGUAAAGAGCUCGUAGGCGGUCUGUCGCGUCGAUCGUGAAAACUUGGGGCUUAACCCUGAGCUUGCGGUCGAUACGGGCAUGACUGGAGUUCGGCAGGGGAGACUGGAAUUCCUGGUGUAGCGGUGAAAUGCGCAGAUAUCAGGAGGAAUACCGAUGGCGAAGGCAGGUCUCUGGGCUGACACUGACGCUCAUGCACGAAAGCGUGGGGAGCAAACAGG
This 254-nucleotide ribosomal RNA is filed under the name uncultured bacterium. RNAcentral describes it as "partial 16S ribosomal RNA". It matches the Rfam family "Bacterial small subunit ribosomal RNA", at positions 524 to 776 of the family's 1533-position model. The record is from RNAcentral.